Molecule: long non-coding RNA, 3260 nt
Organism: Marmota monax (woodchuck)
Lineage: Eukaryota; Metazoa; Chordata; Mammalia; Rodentia; Sciuridae
Exons: 4
Source: RefSeq, a predicted model, not a curated record
GUUUUUAUUUCAAUAAUAUUUAUCAACCAUGAUUAGUAUUGUUUAAUAGUUUUUAUAUUAUGAAUUUCAGGAGAAGAAAACACAUGUGUCACAGAUAAUUUUGUAUUGAAUCAUCUUGCAGCCAGAGAAAAAAGUGGUGGGAGGAAACUGCAGAAGAUGAAGAGGAAAUAGGCUGGAGUCUGAUUAUGAAAUAGCUUGAAGAGAAGGAGAUUCUGACUACUGGAGACAUGAAUCUACAGUUUGAUAAGAAGAAAAUUUUGAGAGACUCAUCCACAGCAAUACACAUUUUGAGCCCUGGGGAAGGACGGGGAAGGACGAGCAACUCCAGCACCUUCUCCCCAGCUACAGUUUUCAGACAUAAGGGCAGCUCACCAACAUUUCUGGGUAAUCCAGGGUGCAAGGACGAUGACUUCUGGAAAGGGUGGCCCAAGACGUGUCCAAGCUCAUACAGUGAGCAAGCAGCAGAGCCAGAUCCAGACCAAGCCUGGGACUUCAAACCCAUGCUGUCUUUCAAGACUAUGACCAUGUCAGGUGACCUUCUUGUCCUCUUUAAACUUUUGUUAAAUUCCGCAGGUGGUUGUUAUGUGUGUUCCAAAGUCUGGGUUAACCUUACCCAUGAGCCUUACCCUCUGUGGGUGUCACGGUUGUCUCUCCAGAACCUAUUCCUCUCCUUUGAGUGGCCUGAGUACAAUUUGGGAGGCCUGAUUGGGCCUCAUGGGUGUAAGAAUACUUUAACCUCUUGACCAGUGCUUUGGUUCUUGAACAGGUGAGUGACCCAACUGUGGCCAAGAGGGUGUUCUGGAGACUUCUAGGGAAGCCUCCUGUCUGUGCCUUAGGGAGUAACGGAAGCUCCGCACUCUCUCUAGUUGGGCAGCAGCAAGGAGGUCCGUUGCUCCAAUGCUGUGAGCAGCCACUUGGGGUAAAUGAGAAGCUGGCGUAAAAUGGAAUCUGCCCAUAAGGGGUCAAAACAGGGAGAGAGCAGAAAUGGGUCUGGAAUCUCUUGUUAUUAGGAUUUACAAAAUUCCUUAUCAUCCCACCCAUUUUUUUUUUUCCCAUUGGAUUUUGAUUACUUGCAGGGCAGAGUAUCUAAGAAAUCAAACUUCCAAGGCAUUCAGUUUGCCCAGAAUGCAGUUACAUAGCUCCUGUGUUCACUGCUUUUGUUUUGGAUUUUUUUUUAAGUGCAAUAUAAUUUUCACAUAACAAAAUGCUCAGAUUUUAAAUAUUCAGUUGGAUGUGUUUUGACAAUUGUUGACUUUGUACCCAAACCAAAAGCAAAACGCAAGACAUUUCUAUUACCCUACACAUGGCCCUCUGGCCCCUUUCUAGCUGACCCCUCAGCCCUGACCCAGGCUUUCUGAUUUCCAUCAACAGUUUAAUUCGACUUGUUUCUCAACUGUACGUAAAUGAAAUAAUAUGAAAAUAACACAAUGGGAAUUCUUUUCUAGCUGAUUCCUUUGGCUCAGUAAACUGUUUCUGAGAUCCAUCUAUGUGUGUAUCAAUUCAUUCUUUUCAUUGUGGAAUAGUAUUUCAUUGUAUCAAUAUAUCAUUUCUUUGACCUUUUCAUCUUGUGGGGAUUUAGAACAAUUUCAAGACCUACCGUAGAGACUGAGGUUGUAGACCAGGGGAGUAGCUCUGUGGUUGGGUAAGUGUUCAGCAUGCAAGAGGCCUUGGGGUCAACCCGCAGCUCCAAAAAAAAAAAAAACUAACAAACAAAAUGACUAAGGCUACUGUGAACCUUCUUGUAUAUGUGUUUUUGUGGAUCUGUUUUUCUUGGGAAAAUUCCUAGGAGCGAAAAUACUGGGCAUUACAUUUACUUUGAAGUUCUAAAUAGAAGCCCUUGGAUUCUGGAUGAUUGAGUUAAGAAACCAGUGGGGCAAUUACUGAGCUCAGAAACUUCACAAGAUCACAGUGGAAUUUCAAACUCACCCUCUAUUAUUUUUUUUUAAUGUGGUGCUGGGAAUUGAACCCAGGGCUUGGUGCAUAACUUAUAAGCACAGACUGUACCACUGAGCAACAUCCCCAGCCUAUUUUUUUGAGGGGGUGUGUGGGGAGGAGGGAUAUUAAUCAUUACCAAAAUAUCAGAGCAUGUCAUCAGUGUGUGCCCAGUAUGCACUCUAGACACUUGGCCUCAUACAUGACCUCCUCAGCUCUUACUUAGUAGCCUUUUGACCUUGGGCAAAUUAUUAACCUCUCAGAUCCUCAGUUCCCUAUCUAUAACAUAAGGAUUAAAAAUAACAUUGACUUCAUAGGGUUUUUGUGAGAAAUUAAGUGAAGUAAUGCAUAUAAGGCCUUUAUCAAAUUAUCUGAUACAAACUGGGCACGGUGGAGCAGGCCUGUAAUCCCACCAACUCAGGAGUCUGAGACAGGAGGCUCUCGAGUUCAAAGCCAGCCUCAGCAACUUAAUGGGGCCCUAGGCAACUUAGUAAGACCCUGUUUCAAAAUAAAAAAUAAAAAGGCUUAGUGGGUCAGUGCAUCUGGGUUCAAUCCCCAUUAAAGUCUGAUACAUAAAAUAGCUAAAAAUUAUUAAACCAUUAUGAUUCUCAUAAUGUAGCCUCUUACAACAACCUCGUAAAAAUUAAUUCCCCAUUUUCAGCAGCAAUAAGCGAUUUGUCCUAGUUACAGAAUCAAGAGUGUGAUUCAAAUUUUAGGUCUAUUUUGGCACCAAAGCCUGAGCCAGUUCUACUAUACUGUUCCAGAGAGAGAUUUUUUCCCCCCCAGAUUACAUCGUUCAACCUUUAUAGGACUCCUUUAGGGUGAUUUCUGUGAAUAUGGAAAGAACAAAAGGCUCGAAGAAAAGAAAGUGAACAACUAGACAAACAGUGGCCUGAGACACAGUCGCGGAGACACUUGAGGAUGGGGAACCACAGACACCCAGAGAACUUCCCAGGCUUUCCGGGGCUUCCUGGGGUUGUUCUGUAGAAAAAGACCGGAAGGAAGAGGCCUGGUACUUUUGUUUUUGCUUUUUAAGGAUUUCCCUGCCUACCCUAGUUCUUCCUCUCUUCUUUCUCUGGGGUGAUUGGUUCGCUGUUGGCAUGGGGCGGAUUGCAGAUGGAGCACUCAAAUGAGCUGAGGAGGGUGACUUGAGUUUAAUAAAGGGAUGAUCAUGAACGUGUGAGGGGAAGAAGAGGGCAGAGAACACAGUGUGGAGAGGCCAUUCCCCCAGCACCUGAGGAGACCAGGGCAGGCGUGGCGCCUGCUUCACAGAGGGGAGGUAUGCCCCAUGGUGGUUGUGCUGUUUGGUGCAGGGACACAAGACACCU